RNAcentral lists this ribosomal RNA (500 nucleotides) under uncultured bacterium. Its description in RNAcentral is "partial 16S ribosomal RNA". It matches the Rfam family "Bacterial small subunit ribosomal RNA", at positions 30 to 523 of the family's 1533-position model. The record is from RNAcentral.
AUUGAACGCUGGCGGAAUGCUUUACACAUGCAAGUCGAACGGCAGCACGGACUUCGGUCUGGUGGCGAGUGGCGAACGGGUGAGUAAUAUAUCGGAACGUGCCCAGUCGUGGGGGAUAACGUAGCGAAAGCUACGCUAGUACCGCAUACGAUCUACGGAUGAAAGCGGGGGAUCGCAAGACCUCGCGCGAUUGGAGCGGCCGAUAUCAGAUUAGGUAGUUGGUGAGGUAAAGGCUCACCAAGCCGACGAGCUGUAGCUGGUCUGAGAGGACGACCAGCCACACUGUGACUGAGACACGGCCCAGACUCCUACGGGAGGCAGCAGUGGGGAAUUUUGGACAAUGGACGCAAGUCUGAUCCAGCCAUUCCGCGUGCAGGACGAAGGCCUUCGGGUUGUAAACUGCUUUUGUACAGAACGAAAAGGUCUCUAUUAAUACUAGGGGCUCAUGACGGUACUGUAAGAAUAAGCACCGGCUAACUACGUGCCAGCCGCCGCGGUAA